ACCAACAGCCCUUUGUGGAAACAACCAGAACUGUCUCCACACCAAGGCAAAUCUGAACCAAAGGGUUUUACUAGUAUUUUCAUGGAGGUCCAUGUCUCUCCUACACUGAGGACUCCACAUCUGGAUGCAGCACUCCAGGUAUCCACAGCUAACAACAGAAUAGAACCAAGACAAAAAAGUAAAGAUGACUGCUGGAGAGACAACGGUAAACAGAGCAAAAGGAAAUGCCAACGAAUAAAAGACAUGAUAGCAUCAAGGUUGAGACCAGAAGAAAAGACGUCCAUAAAGAUUUUGCAUGAUUACUAUCUGGUUUGCUACUCUUUUGGGUGUGUUCAAUUAUUACCAUGAAAGAUGAUAGAAUCAAAACCUGAGCUGAGUAAAGAACAAAAUGAGCAUUUAGCCUCCUUUUCUCUUCUUCCUCAUCUUCUGAAUUGUCUGUGGAAUUAAUAAUUCCUUCCAUUUUGAGUUUCUCUUUUUCAUUUCCUCGUACACUGUGGUAGAUCUACCCUUCUCAUUAAAUGCAUUUCUUCAAUUCACACCAUGCGCCCAUUUUUAACAGAAGGCAGUUAAGUACAGCUAGGCAAAAAAAAAGUUAGUUUCCC
Phasianus colchicus (ring-necked pheasant) is the source of this 602-nucleotide long non-coding RNA. RefSeq lists it as uncharacterized. The record is from RefSeq and is a predicted model, not a curated record. NCBI's taxonomy places the organism in Eukaryota, Metazoa, Chordata, Aves, Galliformes, Phasianidae.